UACGUAGGGGGCAAGCGUUGUCCGGAAUUAUUGGGCGUAAAGCGCGCGCAGGCGGUCAUUUAAGUCUGGUGUUUAAUCCCGGGGCUCAACCCCGGAUCGCACUGGAAACUGGGUGACUUGAGUGCAGAAGAGGAGAGUGGAAUUCCACGUGUAGCGGUGAAAUGCGUAGAUAUGUGGAGGAACACCAGUGGCGAAGGCAGCCCCCUGGGCCAAUACUGACGCUCAGGCACGAAAGCGUGGGGAGCAAACAGG
This 252-nucleotide ribosomal RNA is filed under the name uncultured bacterium. Its description in RNAcentral is "partial 16S ribosomal RNA". It matches the Rfam family "Bacterial small subunit ribosomal RNA", at positions 524 to 776 of the family's 1533-position model. The record is from RNAcentral.